Molecule: non-coding RNA, 213 nt
Filed under: Clostridium cylindrosporum
Lineage: Bacteria; Bacillati; Bacillota; Clostridia; Eubacteriales; Clostridiaceae
Description: T-box sequence
Rfam family: T-box leader
About the family: Uncharged tRNA acts as the effector for transcription antitermination of genes in the T-box leader family. T-boxes are found upstream of many aminoacyl-tRNA synthetase genes and some amino acid biosynthetic genes usually in Gram-positive bacteria. The anticodon of a specific tRNA base pairs to a specifier sequence within the T-box motif, and the NCCA acceptor tail of the tRNA base pairs to a conserved bulge in the T-box antiterminator hairpin.
Source: RNAcentral
UUAAAAACAGGGAUAAAGAAUAGUAGUUUUCAAACACUAUAAAGAGAAGAUAUAUCAUAGGCUGAGAGUAUAUCUAUAGUUAAGGAUAAUGAAUCACACUUUUGAGUUGGUAGUUUGAAUAUUAGUAGGACUACACGUUUGGCGCGUUAAGCCUUUAAGUGGGUAAAUACCAAUUAGGGUGGUACCGCGGGUAGAACAUAACCCGUCCCUUGC